GCAGGUUUGCCCGGGGAAGACUUAAGUUCUUCUGCACAUAAGUGCGCGUGGGUUCGAACCCCACAGCCUGCA
This is a non-coding RNA of Arabidopsis thaliana x Arabidopsis arenosa, 72 nucleotides long. The record is from the annotation of a GenBank genome assembly. NCBI's taxonomy places the organism in Eukaryota, Viridiplantae, Streptophyta, Magnoliopsida, Brassicales, Brassicaceae.